Molecule: ribosomal RNA, 828 nt
Filed under: uncultured bacterium
Lineage: Bacteria
Description: bacterial SSU rRNA
Rfam family: Bacterial small subunit ribosomal RNA
Source: RNAcentral
CCCUUAGAGUUUGAUCCUGGCUCAGAAUGAACGCUGGCGGCAUGCCUAACACAUGCAAGUCGAACGAAGCCUUCGGGCUUAGUGGCGCACGGGUGCGUAACGCGUGGGAAUCUGCCUUGGGGUUCGGAAUAACUCAGAGAAAUUUGAGCUAAUACCGGAUGAUGUCUACGGACCAAAGAUUUAUCGCCCUGAGAUGAGCCCGCGUGAGAUUAGCUAGUUGGUGGGGUAAAGGCCCACCAAGGCGACGAUCUCUAGCUGGUCUGAGAGGAUGAUCAGCCACACUGGGACUGAGACACGGCCCAGACUCCUACGGGAGGCAGCAGUGGGGAAUAUUGGACAAUGGGCGAAAGCCUGAUCCAGCAAUGCCGCGUGAGUGAUGAAGGCCUUAGGGUUGUAAAGCUCUUUUACCCGGGAUGAUAAUGACAGUACCGGGAGAAUAAGCUCCGGCUAACUCCGUGCCAGCAGCCGCGGUAAUACGGAGGGAGCUAGCGUUAUUCGGAAUUACUGGGCGUAAAGCGCACGUAGGCGGCUUUGCAAGUUAGAGGUGAAAGCCUGGAGCUCAACUCCAGAACUGCCUUUAAAACUGCAUCGCUUGAAUCCAGGAGAGGUGAGUGGAAUUCCGAGUGUAGAGGUGAAAUUCGUAGAUAUUCGGAAGAACACCAGUGGCGAAGGCGGCUCACUGGACUGGUAUUGACGCUGAGGUGCGAAAGCGUGGGGAGCAAACAGAUUAGAUACCCUGGUAGUCCACGCCGUAAACGAUGAUAACUAGCUGUCUGGGUGCCUGGCACUUAGUGGCGCAGCUAACGCAUAAGUUAUCCGCCUGGGGAG